CCGCCCUUAGCUCAGUUGGAUAGAGCACUCGCCUUCUAAGCGAGCGGCCACAGGUUCGAAUCCUGUAGGGCGGG
This 74-nucleotide transfer RNA is filed under the name Orrella dioscoreae. It matches the Rfam family "tRNA". Rfam says of the family: Transfer RNA (tRNA) molecules are approximately 80 nucleotides in length. Lineage: Bacteria; Pseudomonadati; Pseudomonadota; Betaproteobacteria; Burkholderiales; Alcaligenaceae. The record is from Rfam by way of RNAcentral.